Molecule: ribosomal RNA, 472 nt
Filed under: uncultured bacterium
Lineage: Bacteria
Description: bacterial SSU rRNA
Rfam family: Bacterial small subunit ribosomal RNA
Source: RNAcentral
UGGGGAAUAUUGCGCAAUGGGCGCAAGCCUGAUCCAGCCAUGCCGCGUGCGGGAAGAAGGCCUUCGGGUUGUAAACCGCUUUUGUCAGGGAAGAAACGCUCUGGGCUAAUACCCUGGGGUAAUGACGGUACCUGAAGAAUAAGCACCGGCUAACUACGUGCCAGCAGCCGCGGUAAUACGUAGGGUGCAAGCGUUAAUCGGAAUUACUGGGCGUAAAGCGUGCGCAGGCGGUUUGGUAAGACAGAUGUGAAAUCCCCGGGCUUAACCUGGGAACUGCAUUUGUGACUGCCAGACUAGAGUGUAGCAGAGGGGGGUAGAAUUCCACGUGUAGCAGUGAAAUGCGUAGAUAUGUGGAGGAAUACCGAUGGCGAAGGCAGCCCCCUGGGCUAACACUGACGCUCAUGCACGAAAGCGUGGGGAGCAAACAGGAUUAGAUACCCGCGUAGUCCCUGAGCGGGCUGGCAAGGCGCAU